AGCUCCAAUAGCGUAUAUUAAAGUUGUUGCAGUUAAAAAGCUCGUAGUUGGAUCUCGGGAGCGAGCGAGCGGUCGGGCGUUCAGCCGUGUACUUCUCACUCAUCCUACUGACCGGUACGUGCCCUGUGCUCUUAACCGAGUGUAGGGACCGUCUGGUGCGUUUACUUUGAAAAAAUUAGAGUGCUCAAAGCAGACGAGUCGUCUGAAUAGCCGUGCAUGGAAUAAUGGAAUAGGACCUCGGUGCUAUUUUGUUGGUUUCGAACACCAGGAGUAAUGAUUAACAGGGACAGUCAGGGGCACUCGUAUUCCGUCGAGAGAGGUGAAAUUCUCAGACCAAUGGAAGACGAACCACUGCGAAAGCAUUUGCCAGGGAUGUUUUCACUG
Molecule: ribosomal RNA, 384 nt
Filed under: Pectinaria sp. (in: segmented worms)
Lineage: Eukaryota; Metazoa; Annelida; Polychaeta; Terebellida; Pectinariidae
Description: Pectinaria sp. partial small subunit ribosomal RNA
Rfam family: Eukaryotic small subunit ribosomal RNA
Source: RNAcentral